RNAcentral lists this ribosomal RNA (341 nucleotides) under uncultured bacterium. RNAcentral's name for it is "bacterial SSU rRNA". It matches the Rfam family "Bacterial small subunit ribosomal RNA", at positions 30 to 377 of the family's 1533-position model. The record is from RNAcentral.
AUUGAACGCUGGCGGCAUGCUUUACACAUGCAAGUCGAACGGGGGUGGGGCAACCCACCUCAGUGGCGAACGGGUGAGUAACAUAUCGGAACGUAUCCUCGAGUGGGGGAUAACUCCGAGAAAUCGGAGCUAAUACCGCAUGAGAUCUAAGGAUGAAAGCGGGGGACCGAAAGGCCUCGCGCUGGAGGGGCGGCCGAUAUCUGAUUAGCUAGUUGGUGGGGUAACGGCCUACCAAGGCGACGAUCAGUAGCUGGUCUGAGAGGAUGAUCAGCCACACUGGGACUGAGACACGGCCCAGACUCCUACGGGAGGCAGCAGUGGGGAAUAUUGGACAAUGGGCG